CAACGGGUGCGAGUCCCGUCUCGGUAAGCGCCGGAGCGCCGAGUAGCAGGGUCCAGCUACGACUCGAAAGGGACGUGGCCGAGCGGAUCGUCGAGAGCCUCAUAGGAGGGAGCAACGAAGCAGGCCGCAACACAG
Molecule: non-coding RNA, 135 nt
Organism: Betaproteobacteria bacterium
Lineage: Bacteria; Pseudomonadati; Pseudomonadota; Betaproteobacteria
Source: Rfam